RNAcentral lists this ribosomal RNA (462 nucleotides) under uncultured bacterium. RNAcentral's name for it is "partial 16S ribosomal RNA". It matches the Rfam family "Bacterial small subunit ribosomal RNA", at positions 28 to 507 of the family's 1533-position model. The record is from RNAcentral.
GACGAACGCUGGCGGCGUGCUUAACACAUGCAAGUCGAGCGGUAAGGCCUUUCGGGGUACACGAGCGGGGAACGGGGGAGUAAAACGGGGGGGAUCGGCCCUGAACUUGGGGAUAAGCCGGGGAAACGGGGUCUAUUACCGGAUAGAACCUCCUAUCGCAUGGUGGGUGGGGGAAGGAUUUAUCGGUGCAGGAUGGGCCCGCGGCCUAUCAGCUUGUUGGUGGGGUAAUGGCCUACCAAGGCGACGACGGGUAGCCGACCUGAGAGGGUGACCGGCCACACUGGGACUGAGACACGGCCCAGACUCCUACGGGAGGCAGCAGUGGGGAAUAUUGCACAAUGGGCGAAAGCCUGAUGCAGCGACGCCGCGUGAGGGAUGACGGCCUUCGGGUUGUAAACCUCUUUCAGCAGGGACGAAGCGCAAGUGACGGUACCUGCAGAAGAAGCACCGGCUAACUACGUG